CCUACGGGUGGCAGCAGUGAGGAAUAUUGGUCAAUGGGCGGAAGUCUGAACCAGCCAAGCCGCGUGAAGGAAGACGGCUCUAAGAGUUGUAAACUUCUUUUGUCAAGGGAUAAAAUCAGGCACGCGAGCCUGACUGAAAGUACUUUAAGAAUAAGGAUCGGCUAACUCCGUGCCAGCAGCCGCGGUAAUACGGAGGAUUCGAGCGUUAUCCGGAUUUAUUGGGGUUAAAGGGGUCGUAGGCGGGUGGUUAAGUCAGCUGUGAAAUCCCGGGGCCCAACCUUGGGAUGGCCGUUGAUACUGGCCGUCUUGAGAAGAGUUGAGGUAGGCGGAAUGCGUGGUGUAGCGGUGAAAUGCUUAGAUAUCACGAAGAACUCCGAUUGCGAAGGCAGCAUACCAAGCUCCCUCUGACGUUGAGGCACGAAAGCGUGGGUAUCAAACAGGAUUAGAUACCCGAGUAGUC
RNAcentral lists this ribosomal RNA (460 nucleotides) under uncultured bacterium. RNAcentral describes it as "partial 16S ribosomal RNA". It matches the Rfam family "Bacterial small subunit ribosomal RNA", at positions 338 to 795 of the family's 1533-position model. The record is from RNAcentral.